GGCCGGGCCAGCCACCUGGGGACGGACGACAGUACUAUAGCCAAUAAUAGAACUGCACUAUGAGACGGUGACUCAUCAUCCUAAUAAUGUUCGCGCUGCACCUACACUAGCUUCGUGGAGGGAAGGACAAUAGCAAGCGUAGACAGAAUCAUUAUUUUGCGAAUCACAGUAUGUUUCUGUCUUAAUUUUUUUUCUUAAAUUCUGAAAGUGAUUCAGAUAGUCUGAGUUUGGAUAAUUGGAGUUGUACUGUAGUUAGAAGAACAGGGAGAAAAUUGAUGACGCUGUGAGCAUCUACACUCUUUAAUAAGCUCCGUAAUGAAAAAGACACCCACGAACACCUUGAAAGAUCAGGUGUCUACAGGUGUUGUACUAUCAGGUGUUGUCUACAGGAUUCCUGUUACAUACAAGACACAGCAGGAAACAGCAUAUAUAGGCAUGACUACUAGAACUCUUUCCCAGAGAUUAAACAAACAUAAAAAAGACAUUGCAGCAGGAAAGCUAAACGCAGCUCUGCCAGUAGAGCC
RNAcentral lists this long non-coding RNA (524 nucleotides) under Androctonus crassicauda. The record is from RNAcentral. Lineage: Eukaryota; Metazoa; Arthropoda; Arachnida; Scorpiones; Buthidae.